RNAcentral lists this ribosomal RNA (1267 nucleotides) under Isoptericola halotolerans. Its description in RNAcentral is "bacterial LSU rRNA". It matches the Rfam family "Bacterial large subunit ribosomal RNA", at positions 1 to 1219 of the family's 2925-position model. The record is from RNAcentral. Lineage: Bacteria; Bacillati; Actinomycetota; Actinomycetes; Micrococcales; Promicromonosporaceae.
UGUCGAAGUUUAUAAGGGCACAUGGUGGAUGCCUUGGCACUAGGAGCCGAAGAAGGACGUUGUAGCCUGCGUUAAGCCUCGGGGAGCUGGCAAACGAGCUGUGAUCCGAGGAUGUCCGAAUGGGGGAACCCGGCCGUAGUCAUGUGCGGUCACCUGUACCUGAAUUCAUAGGGUGCAGGAGGGAACGCCGGGAAGUGAAACAUCUCAGUACCGGCAGGAAGAGAUAUUCCGUGAGUAGUGGCGAGCGAAAGCGGAUGAGGCCAAACCAUAUGCGUGUCAAGCUGUCAGGCGUUGCGUGUGUGGGGUUGUGGGACCUUUCGAGAGCCACUGACAUGGUUCUGACCAGUAAAAAAGUCGUGUCAUAGUCGAACCGCAUUGAAUGGCGGACCGUAGAGGGUGGGAGUCCCGUAGACGAAAUGGCGUGGCCUGGUGAAGGGGAUCCCAAGUAGCACGGGGCCCGAGAAAUCCCGUGUGAAUCUGGCAAGACCACUUGCUAAGCCUAAAUACUACCUAGUGACCGAUAGCGGACAAGUACCGUGAGGGAAAGGUGAAAAGUACCCCGGGAGGGGAGUGAAAUAGUACCUGAAACCGUGUGCCUACAAUCCGUCGGAGCCUCCCUAGCAGGGGUGACGGCGUGCCUUUUGAAGAAUGAGCCUGCGAGUUAGUGCUCGGUGGCGAGGUUAACCCGUGUGGGGAAGCCGUAGCGAAAGCGAGUCCGAACAGGGCGAUUCAGUCGCCGGGUCUAGACCCGAAGCGAAGUGAUCUAGCCAUGGGCAGGUUGAAGCGCCGGUAAGACGGCGUGGAGGACCGAACCCACUUAGGUUGAAAACUGAGGGGAUGACCUGUGGUUAGGGGUGAAAGGCCAAUCAAACUUCGUGAUAGCUGGUUCUCCCCGAAAUGCAUUUAGGUGCAGCGUCACGCGUUCCUUGCCGGAGGUAGAGCUACUGGAUGGCCGAUGGGCCUCACCAGGUUACUGACGUCAACCAAACUCCGAAUGCCGGUAAGCCAGAGCGUGGCAGUGAGACUGCGGGGGAUAAGCUUCGUAGUCGAGAGGGAAACAGCCCAGACCACCGGCUAAGGCCCCUAAGCGUGUGCUCAGUGGGAAAGGAUGUGGAGUUGCACAGACAACCAGGAGGUUGGCUUAGAAGCAGCCACCCUUGAAAGAGUGCGUAAUAGCUCACUGGUCAAGUGAUUCCGCGCCGACAAUGUAGCGGGGCUCAAGUACACCGCCGAAGCCGUGGCACUCACACUUUACCCAGCAUCCCCU